Molecule: unclassified non-coding RNA, 235 nt
Filed under: plant metagenome
Description: partial contains small subunit ribosomal RNA, internal transcribed spacer 1, and 5.8S ribosomal RNA
Rfam family: Eukaryotic small subunit ribosomal RNA (bases 1-54)
Source: RNAcentral
GGAAGUAAAGGUCGUAACAAGGUUUCCGUAGGUGAACCUGCGGAAGGAUCAUUCAUAAUAGGUGUUUUAUGGCACUUUUUUAAAUCCAUAUCCACCUUGUGUGCAAUGUCAGGGUUGAUUUUUCUCUCGAGAGUAUCAACCCCAAACAUCAACUAUAUCUCAACUCUUUGUCUGAAAAAUAUUAUGAAUAAAACAAUUCAAAAUACAACUUUCAACAACGGAUCUCUUGGCUCUC